Long non-coding RNA from Prosopis cineraria, 782 nucleotides. RefSeq lists it as uncharacterized. NCBI's taxonomy places the organism in Eukaryota, Viridiplantae, Streptophyta, Magnoliopsida, Fabales, Fabaceae. The record is from RefSeq and is a predicted model, not a curated record. The transcript has 3 exons.
AGAGGAGAAGGAUGAGAUUGAAGGAGGAGGUUUGAUAGAAUGGCAGGCCCACAUGCACAUCACCACCACCACUACUGCAAUUGUUGAACUUGAAACACAAGCUACUGACCAAACAAAUGGGUCUUCUUGGGUGAGCAAUAGACUGAAUGGAGAACAAGAGUUCUCUCAAACAGAAGUGAAUUCUGGUGACAUUGAGAAGAACACAACUAUAAGUCCUUCCGAGCCUGUAUUUCUUCUGUGGACUCUACUUCUCUUGACAAUGUGACAACUGAAACUGAGAGAGUAGGAAAAAUAACAGAGCAUGUGCAGCAAGUGAAGGAACUAUAUUGGAAAGUCUAUAUCAGAAGCCACCUACACAGGGAUUCUAUUGUCCCAAUUGUAAGGCUUGUAUCCAGAAGGUCUUGCUUUUGGAUCCUGUUAGGGAAGAAACUAUAGUUCCCACACAGCCUCCUCCACCAGCUGACACAUUCAGAUGCUCAUCAUGCUUCAGCUUCCUCAUCCCAAUAGGUAGUAGGCUCUUCCCUGGGUGGGUGCAUGAUAAUGAAGCACCAACUAUUCAAGGUGAAGUAUUUCCUGAAUGCAUCUAAUUCACUGGGCAAUUUACAUAUAAACUUAUUUUUGCCUCCAUUUGCCAUUGAAAGAACUUAAUGAUGAAAGACCUCAAGCUACACCAGCAGUUACAAUUCAAGCCCCUGAUCAAGCUAACACUGCAGCUGAUUCAGGAAAACAAAUCUUGCAGCCUGAAUAGUGAUGAAUGAUGAAAUAGACAAAGCGCCCAAUGA